AUGAUUUCUUCUAGAGUUAAAGGAACAAACUUAAGGAGUACCAAGAUCAAUAACAAAGUGGUAUCAUCAAGUCACUUAGGAGACUACAUGGCCAGUGAUCCCAGCGAUUCUCCCACAAGACGCUUCUUACGCUGCCACCCAACCGACCUUCUCUUCCGUCCCUUCCCGCUCUCACCAAAACCUAACACCUCCUCCUUUUCUAUCGGUCAAAACCGUGAAGGACAUUUGGGGUUUACGACUGUGUAA
This is a non-coding RNA of Vicia faba (fava bean), 246 nucleotides long. The record is from the annotation of a GenBank genome assembly. NCBI's taxonomy places the organism in Eukaryota, Viridiplantae, Streptophyta, Magnoliopsida, Fabales, Fabaceae.